Molecule: long non-coding RNA, 242 nt
Filed under: Elaeis guineensis (African oil palm)
Lineage: Eukaryota; Viridiplantae; Streptophyta; Magnoliopsida; Arecales; Arecaceae
Description: long non-coding RNA (EGUI_LNC017607)
Source: RNAcentral
UGAGUCAAAAAAUUUUUAAGUUACAUGCUUCAAUUUUAUGGACCAUAAAUAAUUUUUCUGCAUAUGAAAACUUAUCUGGGUAGAGCACCAAAGGAUAUCUGGCAUAUCCAAUAUGCAACAAGGAUGCAUCCUCCUUACAUUUAAAGUAUGGAUGAAAAAUAUGUUUCAUGGAUCAUCGACGGUUUCUACAUGAUAAUCACUCUUGGAGGAUCCGUUACAAUCAAUACUUUGAUAGUAAGUCC